UGUUAAUCAGAUGUUUCUUAUUAAAAAUGCCCGGACAUAUGGACUCCAUAGUCAUUUCAGUGUGUUACUGAGGUAAGCU
RNAcentral lists this small nucleolar RNA (79 nucleotides) under Buceros rhinoceros silvestris. Its description in RNAcentral is "Small nucleolar RNA SNORD72". It matches the Rfam family "Small nucleolar RNA SNORD72". Rfam says of the family: snoRNA HBII-240 belongs to the CD family of snoRNAs. It is the human orthologue of the mouse MBII-240 and is predicted to guide 2'O-ribose methylation of the large 28S rRNA at residue U4590. Lineage: Eukaryota; Metazoa; Chordata; Aves; Bucerotiformes; Bucerotidae. The record is from Rfam by way of RNAcentral.